GUGAGACACACAGUCAUGAGAAAUUAAAAUUGGCUAAUCACAGGGGCGUUUCUGUCUUACAUUUUGUCUUUCUUGUGGAUAUCUAAUUUUCCUUGAAAUGUAAAAAUCUCUGAAGAUCAGGCAGUGAAAAUUCAUAACUUGUUACUUCUGCCUAUUGUUCUUCUGAUGUGCACCUCUAAGAAAAGUUUGGUUCCAUCUUCUCUGCAAUCCCCCUGCAGGGCAUGGUCUAUAGACAUUUAAGUGUCAACAUCUUCCAUUUGACAUUGACCGACCCUGUAGCUCAAAGACAGAUUUCAGCGCUGGUUUUAAUCCCUCUCCGGGGAAGACCAGCCUUGCCUUCCCUUCCUAUCAGAAGCAAACCUUCAAAAGAUUGGAGAAAAUGGGAAUGCUUAGACGCCAGAUGGCAAAUGUUUGAAACCGGAUGUUCAGCUGUGUUUUCUUCAUCACAUUCCUUGUUCUGUGAUGUGCAUUCAUUGGAAGAAAACAAUUUCCAUCUUAAACUCACCUCUUUCCAAGGCAAGAUUUCUGCUUUUUUACUCUCCUCUUAUUUUCCUGCAUGUUUUCUGGCUAAGAAGCUCCCUCUUCCUCCACAGAGACUGGAACUCAACAUCCCUGACUAUCUUCUAGUGGCAGUAAUCAACUAUUCAACCCAAAAACUUUUGCAAUAA
This 668-nucleotide long non-coding RNA is filed under the name Zonotrichia albicollis (white-throated sparrow). Its description in RNAcentral is "lncRNA (ENSZALG00000012952.1)". The record is from RNAcentral. Lineage: Eukaryota; Metazoa; Chordata; Aves; Passeriformes; Passerellidae.